UACAGAGGGGGCAAGCGUUGUUCGGAAUUACUGGGCGUAAAGGGCGCGUAGGCGGCCUGCUAAGUCGAACGUGAAAUCCCCGGGCUCAACCCGGGAACUGCGUCCGAUACUGGCAGGCUUGAGUCCGGGAGAGGGAUGCGGAAUUCCAGGUGUAGCGGUGAAAUGCGUAGAUAUCUGGAGGAACACCGGUGGCGAAGGCGGCAUCCUGGACCGGCAUUGACGCUGAGGCGCGAAAGCCAGGGGAGCAAACGGG
RNAcentral lists this ribosomal RNA (253 nucleotides) under uncultured bacterium. Its description in RNAcentral is "partial 16S ribosomal RNA". It matches the Rfam family "Bacterial small subunit ribosomal RNA", at positions 524 to 776 of the family's 1533-position model. The record is from RNAcentral.